ACUCCUACGGGAGGCAGCAGUGGGGAAUCUUGUCCAAUGGGCGAAAGCCUGAGACAGCGACGCCGCGUGCGGGAAGAAGGCCUUCGGGUUGUAAACCGCUUUCAGGAGGGAAGAAGCGAAAGUGACGGUACCUCCACAAGAAGCCCCGGCCAACUACGUGCCAGCAGCCGCGGUAAUACGUAGGGGGCGAGCGUUGUCCGGAAUUAUUGGGCGUAAAGAGCACGUAGGCGGUCCUUCAAGUCGGAAGUGAAAUCUCAAGGCUUAACCUUGAAACUGCUUUCGAUACUGGGGGACUUGAGGCAGCUAGGGGAGUGUGGAAUUCCUGGUGUAGCGGUGAA
This 338-nucleotide ribosomal RNA is filed under the name uncultured bacterium. RNAcentral describes it as "bacterial SSU rRNA". It matches the Rfam family "Bacterial small subunit ribosomal RNA", at positions 335 to 685 of the family's 1533-position model. The record is from RNAcentral.